UAGGGAAUCUUCGGCAAUGGACGAAAGUCUGACCGAGCAACGCCGCGUGAGUGAAGAAGGUUUUCGGAUCGUAAAACUCUGUUGUUAGAGAAGAACAAGGACGUUAGUAACUGAACGUCCCCUGACGGUAUCUAACCAGAAAGCCACGGCUAACUACGUGCCAGCAGCCGCGGUAAUACGUAGGUGGCAAGCGUUGUCCGGAUUUAUUGGGCGUAAAGCGAGCGCAGGCGGUUUCUUAAGUCUGAUGUGAAAGCCCCCGGCUCAACCGGGGAGGGUCAUUGGAAUCUGGGGGACUUGAGUGCAGAAGAGGGGAGUGGAAUUCCAUGGGUAGCGGUGAAAUGCGUAGAUAUAUGGAGGAACACCAGUGGCGAAGGCGGCUCUCUGGUCUGUAACUGACGCUGAGGCUCGAAAGCGUGGGGAGCAAACAGG
This 429-nucleotide ribosomal RNA is filed under the name Chloroflexota bacterium. RNAcentral describes it as "Chloroflexi bacterium partial 16S ribosomal RNA". It matches the Rfam family "Bacterial small subunit ribosomal RNA", at positions 355 to 776 of the family's 1533-position model. Lineage: Bacteria; Bacillati; Chloroflexota. The record is from RNAcentral.